Pseudomonas taeanensis MS-3 is the source of this 77-nucleotide non-coding RNA. The record is from Rfam. NCBI's taxonomy places the organism in Bacteria, Pseudomonadati, Pseudomonadota, Gammaproteobacteria, Pseudomonadales, Pseudomonadaceae.
UUGAGCCGUAUGAGGGGUGACUCUCACGUACGGUUCUUAGGGGAGGCAAGGGUGGUAACACCCUUGCUUUACCCGAC